AUGCUCUGGUAUCUCUUCAUCAUUCGAGGCUAAUCUUUCGCCUUUUACUAAAGAUUACCGUGGAGAGGAACAUUACAAUGAGCCUAUAAAUAAUUUUUGGAAUCCUCACCUUGAUGGUGGGGU
Molecule: small nuclear RNA, 123 nt
Organism: Stegodyphus dumicola
Lineage: Eukaryota; Metazoa; Arthropoda; Arachnida; Araneae; Eresidae
Product: U5 spliceosomal RNA
Source: RefSeq, a predicted model, not a curated record